GACAGCUGGCCUCUGCUAAACUAUUUGCAGAGGAGAAGGUUGUUGAAGAAAUUUCUUUGAGGAAAGGUAUUUCACUUGGCGCAGCGCAUAACUUGCUAUCCCAGGAAGAAAGACGAUGACAUCAUUU
This is a long non-coding RNA of Ipomoea nil (Japanese morning glory), 127 nucleotides long. RefSeq lists it as uncharacterized. Lineage: Eukaryota; Viridiplantae; Streptophyta; Magnoliopsida; Solanales; Convolvulaceae. The transcript is spliced from 3 exons. The record is from RefSeq and is a predicted model, not a curated record.